This 253-nucleotide ribosomal RNA is filed under the name uncultured bacterium. RNAcentral's name for it is "partial 16S ribosomal RNA". It matches the Rfam family "Bacterial small subunit ribosomal RNA", at positions 524 to 776 of the family's 1533-position model. The record is from RNAcentral.
CACGUAGGGUGCGAGCGUUGUCCGGAAUUAUUGGGCGUAAAGAGCUCGUAGGUGGUGUGUCGCGUCUGCUGUGAAAACCCGAGGCUCAACCUCGGGCCUGCAGUGGGUACGGGCAGACUAGAGUGCGGUAGGGGAGAUUGGAAUUCCUGGUGUAGCGGUGGAAUGCGCAGAUAUCAGGAGGAACACCAAUGGCGAAGGCAGAUCUCUGGGCCGUAACUGACGCUGAGGAGCGAAAGCAUGGGGAGCGAACAGG